Molecule: transfer RNA, 77 nt
Filed under: Streptomyces mutabilis
Lineage: Bacteria; Bacillati; Actinomycetota; Actinomycetes; Kitasatosporales; Streptomycetaceae
Description: tRNA-Leu
Source: RNAcentral
GAACCGGCUGGCCCGGCGGUGGGGAGCGACCCGGCUGAGCACCGGGAAGGUGGUCUGGUUCGAGCUGAACCGGGGCU